CUAAGGAGACUGCCGGUGACAAACCGGAGGAAGGUGGGGAUGACGUCAAGUCAUCAUGGCCCUUACGGCCUGGGCUACACACGUGCUACAAUGGUCGGUACAGAGGGUUGCCAAGCCGCGAGGUGGAGCUAAUCCCACAAAACCGAUCGUAGUCCGGAUCGCAGUCUGCAACUCGACUGCGUGAAGUCGGAAUCGCUAGUAAUCGCGAAUCAGAAUGUCGCGGUGAAUACGUUCCCGGGCCUUGUACACACCGCCCGUCACACCAUGGGAGUGGGUUGCACCAGAAG
Molecule: ribosomal RNA, 287 nt
Filed under: Pseudomonas sp.
Lineage: Bacteria; Pseudomonadati; Pseudomonadota; Gammaproteobacteria; Pseudomonadales; Pseudomonadaceae
Description: partial 16S ribosomal RNA
Rfam family: Bacterial small subunit ribosomal RNA
Source: RNAcentral